GAGUUUGAUCGUGGCUCAGGACGAACGCUGGCGGCGUGCUUAACACAUGCAAGUCGAACGAGAAUCUACUGAAAGAGUUUUCGGACAAUGGAAGUAGAGGAAAGUGGCGGACGGGUGAGUAACGCGUGAGGAACCUGCCUUGAAGAGGGGACAACAGUUGGAAACGACUGCUAAUACCGCAUGAUGCAUAAGGGUCGCAUGAUUCUUAUGCCAAAGAUUUAUCGCUUCAAGAUGGCCUCGCGUCUGAUUAGCUAGUUGGCGGGGUAACGGCCCACCAAGGCGACGAUCAGUAGCCGGACUGAGAGGUUGAACGGCCACAUUGGGACUGAGAUACGGCCCAGACUCCUACGGGAGGCAGCAGUGGGGAAUAUUGGGCAAUGGGCGCAAGCCUGACCCAGCAACGCCGCGUGAAGGAGAAGGCUUUCGGUAUGUAAACUUCUAUCAGCAGGGAAGAAAAGUGACGGUACCUGACUAAGAAG
Molecule: ribosomal RNA, 479 nt
Filed under: uncultured microorganism
Description: bacterial SSU rRNA
Rfam family: Bacterial small subunit ribosomal RNA
Source: RNAcentral